UGCCAGCCGCCGCGGUAAUACGGAGGGUGCAAGCGUUAUUCGGAAUCAUUGGGCGUAAAGGGUGCGUAGACGGUAUGGUAAGUUGGCUGUUAAAUUUCCCGGCCUAACCGGGAACCAGCGGUCAAAACUGCCAAACUAGAGGAUAGGAGAGAGAAGUGGAAUGCUCGGAGUAGCGGUAAAAUGCGUAGAUAUCGAGUGGAACACCGAUGGCGAAGGCAGCUUCUUGGCCUAUUCCUGACGUUGAGGCACGAAAGCGUGGGUAGCAAACAGGAUUAGAUA
Molecule: ribosomal RNA, 279 nt
Filed under: uncultured bacterium
Lineage: Bacteria
Description: partial 16S ribosomal RNA
Rfam family: Bacterial small subunit ribosomal RNA
Source: RNAcentral